GUUAGCUACACUUUCUAGAAAGAUACUUUUCAUACCGCCCUCGCUAGCAUAGCUCGAAGAAAUUGGUGGAAUGCAGGAGAUCCAGAAGAUCAUCCGAUUGCACAGUUAUGUUAAAGCUUAAAGCUCAGCUUAGGAAUGCAAUAGGUACAGGCGAAUAGACUUUAUUCAUGUGAAAUCAUUCCCCUGCAUAGUUUCACUUACGGCACACGUAUAUAUAGGUUUUCGUUAUUUUCGCAAUCGCAGAGUGAAUGGUGAAGACACGUGGAGUUACAUAACUUCCAAUUUUUCACUAUUAUCUAAUCAUCCGCUGUUUAUAUGGAUUAAUAAAUCCGAAGAGUGGCGUUAGCUGAACUACCCGAGGGAAAAGUGAAAAUAAAGUGAAAUUCUUGAAAGAAGCAAAGGGAUAGGAGUACUGGAAAAUCUUAAUACAGCCAAGCCGGCCAACCAAUCUACGGUAUCAA
Molecule: long non-coding RNA, 461 nt
Organism: Drosophila pseudoobscura
Lineage: Eukaryota; Metazoa; Arthropoda; Insecta; Diptera; Drosophilidae
Exons: 2
Source: RefSeq, a predicted model, not a curated record